GCCAUGGGCGCAAGCCUGAUGCAGCGACGCCGCGUGAGGGAUGACGGCCUUCGGGUUGUAAACCUCUUUCAGUACCGACGAAGCGCAAGUGACGGUAGGUACAGAAGAAGCACCGGCCAACUACGUGCCAGCAGCCGCGGUAAUACGUAGGGUGCGAGCGUUGUCCGGAAUUACUGGGCGUAAAGAGCUCGUAGGCGGUUUGUCGCGUCGUCUGUGAAAACCCGCAGCUCAACUGCGGGCUUGCAGGCGAUACGGGCAGACUUGAGUACUGCAGGGGAGACUGGAAUUCCUGGUGUAGCGGUGAAAUGCGCAGAUAUCAGGAGGAACACCGGUGGCGAAGGCGGGUCUCUGGGCAGUAACUGACGCUGAGGAGCGAAAGCGUGGGUAGCGAACAGGAUUAGAUACCCUGGUAGUCCACGCCGUAAACGGUGGGCGCUAGGUGUGGGUUUCCUUCCACGGGAAUCCGUGCCGUAGCUAACGCAUUAAGCGCCCCGCCUGGGGAGUACGGCCGCAAGGCUAAAACUCAAAGGAAUUGACGGGGGCCCCGCACAAGCGGCGGAACAUGUGGAUUAAUUCGAUGCAACGCGAAGAACCUUACCUGGGUUUGACAUACACCGGACCGCCCCANANAUGGGGUUUCCCUUGUGGUCGGUGUANAGGUGGUGCAUG
Molecule: ribosomal RNA, 669 nt
Filed under: Rhodococcus ruber
Lineage: Bacteria; Bacillati; Actinomycetota; Actinomycetes; Mycobacteriales; Nocardiaceae
Description: bacterial SSU rRNA
Rfam family: Bacterial small subunit ribosomal RNA
Source: RNAcentral